Oncorhynchus tshawytscha (Chinook salmon) is the source of this 635-nucleotide long non-coding RNA. The record is from Ensembl. Lineage: Eukaryota; Metazoa; Chordata; Actinopteri; Salmoniformes; Salmonidae.
CCCCCUGACCUUAGAGAGACGGUUUAUAGUCUGUUAUAGUGAGCUGCACUAUAGUCUCCCCCCCCUGACCUCUCUCAUCAUAUAGCAGGCAGCAAUGUAGUGGUCUGCCAACCCACAUCUCUCUCAUCAUAUAGCAGGCAGCAAUGUAGUGGUCUGCCAACCCACAGCUCUCUCAUCUCCCUCAUCAUAUAGCAGGCAGCAAUGUAGUGGUCUGCCAACCCACAGCUCUCUCAUCUCUCUCAUCAUAUAGCAGGCAGCAAUGUAGUGGUCUGCCAACCCACAGCUCUCUCAUCAUAUAGCAGGCAGCAAUGUAGUGGUCUGCCAACCCACAUCUCUCUCAUCUCUCUCAUCAUAUAGCAGGCAGCAAUGUAGUGGUCUGCCAACCCACAUCUCCCUCAUCAUAUAGCAGGCAGCAAUGUAGUGGUCUGCCAACCCACAUCUCUCUCAUCAUAUAGCAGGCAGCAAUGUAGUGGUCUGCCAACCCACAGCUCUCUCAUCAUAUAGCAGGCAGCAAUGUAGUGGUCUGCCAACCCACAUCUCUCUCAUCAUAUAGCAGGCAGCAAUGUAGUGGUCUGCCAACCCAUCUCUCAUCUCUCUCAUCAUAUAGCAGGCAGCAAUGUAGUGGUCUGCCAACC